GAACGCAUAUCGGGAACACAAGCUACACCGCCACAAAGCGAAGCUGAAGAGCGUCGGAGAGGGUGUGCGGCGGCGGUGGUACCAGGAACAGGGGAGUGAGUGCCUCCUCUCCGACGCCAACUCCUCAUCCUCCGUCUCCUCCUCACCCCAAGCGUCUGUUCCUUCCCCUAGCCACCGGGCCUCGAGUGCUUCUACCUCGUUCUGGCAUCCCCACCUGGUGCGCGGUUUCCUCUCCGACUCUGUCUCCUCAUCCGACCCCUAGGGUCUUCUUCCCGGUGCUGUUGGGCUGCCUACGCCACCGACCUCCCUACCACGUGCAGCACCAGGAAGAUCCCAUUGGAGAGGCAGAGAGGUAGACUAAAAUACCAGGACCGGGGGUGGUGUCAGCUCCGUCGGUGGCAGAGGAGGACGUGGGUGUACAAGUUGUGGAAGGUAUCGCCGGUCGUCACUCCGGACGCACAAGAGGCAGCUACACACCACGGCAGGAGUUAGCACGGACGUUCCCUUUUCGGAAGUGGGUGUUAUAUAUCUGUACUUCGGUGCUGUCACGUCCAUCUCAUUCAACAAUAUGUCUUACUAAUAAGUAAAACCACUGAGAAACAUAAUUUGGUUACAGUGACUACGUUAAAACACUGAACCAAGAUCUGAUAUUCGUUGGUGAACUGCAAUUUGACUUCCAGGUUGGUCCGAAUAGUGAGAAGACACGCACCUACGAGUCUAUUAAAUGGUUGACAUAUACAUGAUCUGGAAGUAGUAUAUUUCCGAUGCUAAAACUAAAAACGGUUCCAAACACUAGAAUCGAAGGACCAUUCUGACUUGAAGAUGAAUAGAAUCAAAGGACAGGACCAGUAACGGGGAGGAGGAGAAGGCGAACACGUAUACCAAUAACACCAAAAGAAGAAAGUAUCUGUACAGGACGCCGAAUCUGUAACCCCUACUAACCCACAAUAAAAAACACAGGACGUCCCUGUGGGAAAAAGGGGAAACCGUAACCUAAAAAACAACAAAAAAACCCCGAUGGCAACAACGUGCCCAAACUCUCACGGGCCGACGUUACUUACAGCCAUUGAACCCACGGCCGAACACACGUAACACCCACAACACGACUUCACCGACGCCUCCCGUCACGCACAAAAGUGACAUGAACACAUCGGUGACAUGAACACGUCGGUGUCCUCAUAAACCAAGUCUAUUUCACGGAAAAGUUCAAACUACACAUGAGUAGUAUUAUGUACAUUCAUUUUUAACAACCCUUUGAUUUACAACCUUACAAUU
RNAcentral lists this ribosomal RNA (1275 nucleotides) under Triticum aestivum (bread wheat). RNAcentral describes it as "partial small subunit ribosomal RNA". The record is from RNAcentral. Lineage: Eukaryota; Viridiplantae; Streptophyta; Magnoliopsida; Poales; Poaceae.